RNAcentral lists this unclassified non-coding RNA (377 nucleotides) under uncultured Moraxellaceae bacterium. Its description in RNAcentral is "contains 16S-23S intergenic spacer region". The record is from RNAcentral. Lineage: Bacteria; Pseudomonadati; Pseudomonadota; Gammaproteobacteria; Moraxellales; Moraxellaceae.
UCCAGUUUGUCACUGGCAGUAUCCUUAGAGUCCCCGGCCAAACCGCUGGUAACUAAGGAAAAGGGUUGCGCUCGUUGCGGGACUUAACCCAACAUCUCACGACACGAGCUGACGACAGCCAUGCAGCACCUGUAUUCUAAUUCCCGAAGGCACUCCCGCAUCUCUGCAGGAUUCUAGAUAUGUCAAGACCAGGUAAGGUUCUUCGCGUUGCAUCGAAUUAAACCACAUGCUCCACCGCUUGUGCGGGCCCCCGUCAAUUCAUUUGAGUUUUAACCUUGCGGCCGUACUCCCCAGGCGGUCUACUUAUUGCGUUAGCUGCGUCACUAAGGAAUCAAGUUCCCCAACGACUAGUAGACAUCGUUUACGGCGUGGACUAC